RNAcentral lists this ribosomal RNA (208 nucleotides) under uncultured eukaryote. Its description in RNAcentral is "partial 18S ribosomal RNA". It matches the Rfam family "Eukaryotic small subunit ribosomal RNA", at positions 1299 to 1458 of the family's 1831-position model. The record is from RNAcentral.
UGGUGGAGUGAUUUGUCUGGUUAAUUCCGAUAACGAUCGAGACCUUAACCUGCUAAAUAGUCACUCAUAGACUUCUACCAAAGCACAUUGUGGCGUAGUAUGAAGGUUCGCUGGAGUGUGAAACCAUGGUGUGUGGAUGACUAUGAGGACGUACUUCUUAGAGGGACUACCCAAUGUUUAAAUUGGGUGGAAGUUUAAGGCAAUAACA